AACACAUGCAAGUCGAACGGAACUCUUUGGAUCAAGGGCUUCGGCCAAGUGAAUUAGAGUUUAGUGGCGGACGGGGUGAGUAAACGCGUGAGGGAACCCUGCCUUUCAGAGGGGGACAACAGUUGGAAACGACUGCUAAUACCGCAUAACGUAUAGAGAUCGCAUGGUCUUUAUACCAAAGAUUUAUCGCUGUAAGAUGGACUCGCGUCCAAUUAGAUAGUUGGUGGGGUAACGGCCCACCAAGUCGACGAUUGGUAGCCGGACUGAGAGGUUGAACGGCCACAUUGGGACUGAGACACGGACCAGACUCCUACGGGAGGCAGCAGUGGGGAAUAUUGGGCAAGUGGGGGGAACCCUGACCCAGCAACGCCGCGUGAAGGAAGAAGGCCUUCGGGUUGUAAACUUCUUUUACCAGGGACGAAUAUUGACGGUACCUGGAGAAAAAGCAACGGCUAACUACGUG
Molecule: ribosomal RNA, 463 nt
Filed under: uncultured bacterium
Lineage: Bacteria
Description: bacterial SSU rRNA
Rfam family: Bacterial small subunit ribosomal RNA
Source: RNAcentral